Long non-coding RNA from Zingiber officinale, 603 nucleotides. RefSeq lists it as uncharacterized. The record is from RefSeq and is a predicted model, not a curated record. The transcript has 2 exons. NCBI's taxonomy places the organism in Eukaryota, Viridiplantae, Streptophyta, Magnoliopsida, Zingiberales, Zingiberaceae.
AUCUCUCUCUCUCCUGUGGGGCCGGGGCCGGGGCGGGUGGCGGUUCCACCUUUUGCCAAGUUCUCUGGCCGACGCCUCCGUAAGAGCAUCCGGGUUAGGGUUGAGGUUGGACCGGUGAGCUCGUCGCCUUCGCCCUCGCCACUCUUCCAGUUCUAGAUCUCCGCGGCGCCAUUCCGAUCGGGCACUGGACGCAGAUCGAUCCCCUCGCUCUCAGAGAGUUCUAGGGUUCGUGGCUUUGUUUCACAAUUUUUUCCCAAAUUGGCCGAGAUCUGAUUUGUUCUUCCUCGGAACCAUGGUCCGUGCCAUUCUUCAUUCUCUAGUUGAAAAAGUUCGCAUCUUUCGUCUCCCAGAAGAGAGCCAUGCAGCAACCCGGCAUGUGAAGCUUCUGUUUGAGAGAUCCAAGGAGAAGUAGGGCUUUUCAAUCUGAGAAAAGCCAAUUCAUAAGAUGAAGUCUAAUCAUGUACAAACUCAUCUACGUCUAUUACAAUCAAACUUACAAGAAUUGGCAGCAAUAUCCAUCCAAUAACACCAGUAAAGAAUCAAUGUGCCUUGUGUGUAUAUUCUAUCGUUAAGAAUCAAAGUAAUUCUAUCUGUGUGAUCUUC